AACGAACGCUGGCGGCGUGCUUAACACAUGCAAGUCGAACGGAAAGGCCCUGCUUUUGUGGGGUGCUCGAGUGGCGAACGGGUGAGUAACACGUGAGUAACCUGCCCUUGACUUUGGGAUAACUUCAGGAAACUGGGGCUAAUACCGGAUAGGAGCUCCUGCUGCAUGGUGGGGGUUGGAAAGUUUCGGCGGUUGGGGAUGGACUCGCGGCUUAUCAGCUUGUUGGUGGGGUAGUGGCUUACCAAGGCUUUGACGGGUAGCCGGCCUGAGAGGGUGACCGGCCAAUUGGGAAUGGAGACCGGGCCAGGAUCCCUGCGGGAGGAGGCGUGGGGGAUAAUGGCACAAGGGGCGGAACCCGGAAGCACCACCGCGGCGGGGGGGAUGACGGCUUUGGGGUGGAAACCCGCUUCCCCUUUUGCCAAGGCGUGAGGGCGGGUAAUGGGAAAAGAAGCCCCGGCUACCUA
RNAcentral lists this ribosomal RNA (464 nucleotides) under uncultured bacterium. Its description in RNAcentral is "partial 16S ribosomal RNA". It matches the Rfam family "Bacterial small subunit ribosomal RNA", at positions 28 to 503 of the family's 1533-position model. The record is from RNAcentral.